RNAcentral lists this ribosomal RNA (509 nucleotides) under uncultured bacterium. RNAcentral describes it as "bacterial SSU rRNA". It matches the Rfam family "Bacterial small subunit ribosomal RNA", at positions 30 to 518 of the family's 1533-position model. The record is from RNAcentral.
CGAACGCUGGCGGCGUGCUUAACACAUGCAAGUCGAACGCGAAAGGGACUUCGGUCCUGAGUAAAGUGGCGCACGGGUGAGUAACGCGUAGAUAACCUGUCUUCAUGUCUGGAAUAAUACGCCGAAAGGGGUACUAAUACCGGAUAUUCUUGCUUUUCAUAAGUUAUGCAAGCAAAGGUGGCCUCUGCAUAUGCUACUGCAUGAAGAGGGGUCUGCGUACCAUUAGCUGGUAGGUGGGGUAAUGGCCUACCUAGGCGACGAUGGUUAGCGGGUCUGAGAGGAUGAUCCGCCACACUGGCACUGGAACACGGGCCAGACUCCUACGGGAGGCAGCAGUGAGGAAUAUUGCGCAAUGGGGGAAACCCUGAUGCAGCGACGCCGCGUGAGUGAGGAAAGGCCUUCGGGUCGUAAAGCUCUGUCAAGAGGAAAGAAGUGUACAAUGGCUAAUACCUGUUGUAUUUGACGGUACCUCUAAAGGAAGCACCGGCUAACUCCGUGCCAGCAGCAGC